GUGGGGAAUAUUGGACAAUGGGCGAAAGCCUGAUCCAGCCAUGCCGCGUGAGUGAUGAAGGCCUUCGGGUUGUAAAGCCCUUUUGUUGGGAAAGAAAUCCUAUCGAUUAAUACUCGGUGGGGAUGACGGUACCCAAAGAAUAAGCACCGGCUAACUUCGUGCCAGCAGCCGCGGUAAUACGAAGGGUGCAAGCGUUACUCGGAAUUACUGGGCGUAAAGCGUGCGUAGGUGGUUGUUUAAGUCUGCUGUGAAAGCCCUGGGCUCAACCUGGGAAUUGCAGUGGAUACUGGGCAACUAGAGUGUGGUAGAGGGAUGCGGAAUUUCUGGUGUAGCAGUGAAAUGCGUAGAGAUCAGAAGGAACAUCCGUGGCGAAGGCGGCAUCCUGGGCCAACACUGACACUGAGGCACGAAAGCGUGGGGAGCAAACAGGAUUAGAAACCCUUGUAGUCC
Molecule: ribosomal RNA, 450 nt
Filed under: uncultured bacterium
Lineage: Bacteria
Description: partial 16S ribosomal RNA
Rfam family: Bacterial small subunit ribosomal RNA
Source: RNAcentral